GAUGAAGAACGUAGCGAAAUGCGAUAAGUAGUGUGAAUUGCAGAAUUCAGUGAAUCAUCGAAUCUUUGAACGCACAUUGCGCCCCUUGGUAUUCCAUGGGGCAUGCCUGUUCGAGCGUCAUUUGUACCUUCAAGCUUUGCUUGAUGUUGGGUGUUUGUCUCGCCUCUGCGUGUAGACUCGCCUCAAAACAAUUGGCAGCCGGCGUAUUGAUUUCGGAGCGCAGUACAUCUCGCGCUUUGCACUCAUAACGACGACGUCCAAAAGUACAUUUUUACACUCUUGACCUCGGAUCAGGUAGGGAUACCCGCUGAACUUAAGCAUAUCAAUAAGCGGAGGA
RNAcentral lists this unclassified non-coding RNA (337 nucleotides) under soil metagenome. RNAcentral's name for it is "partial contains 5.8S ribosomal RNA, internal transcribed spacer 2, and large subunit ribosomal RNA". The stretch from base 1 to 120 matches the Rfam family "5.8S ribosomal RNA", at positions 35 to 154 of the family's 154-position model. The record is from RNAcentral.